UAAGGAGAACUCAUGACAGGGGCUGUAUGGGGUGCAAAACAUCUUGGAUUUUUCUCAUUGCAGCAGCUUGGUCUUUCAACAGUGGCAGAGCAAAGAUGCCACCUACUCCCGCAGUUAUUCCUUUCCCCUGCAGACUGCCAUCAUCACUGUGCAGCCACAUCCCGGUCACGUGAAGGUGCCUGUCCAUCACAGUCUGCUGGUGGCACUUCCCGGAUGCUGCUGGGCAUGAUGGAAGCAGCAAAGCCAUCAGGGAGAGCAAUUGGCUCACACCACCAGGAAUACAGUCCCUGCACAGGAUGCAUGCCACUCUCCAGCUACAUUUCAUCUGUCAGCACUAAGUGCUGCAGGAACACACAGGGACAGAUGGGCCUGGACUCUUCUUCCUAUCUGAAUAAACACAGGCACAAACAGGGAAAGCAGCUGCUGAAGGUCAUGCUCUGGGACACAGUACCCAUUUGCCACCUGAAUUUCACCUUCUCAAUAAAUCAGGUCAGCCCCACAUUUUGAAGGCAGCUUGCAGAGCCAUGGAUCUGAUUCAGACAGCCCACGAGUGGCUCCUUGUGCUGCAUGUUCAUCCUUCUCCUCAGGUAGGAAAGAAGCAUCAGCAGGAGCCUCCCAAUGGGCUGCAACCCACUCACUUUGCAGCCAGCUGGCCAACAAGCCUGUGCUG
RNAcentral lists this long non-coding RNA (670 nucleotides) under Manacus vitellinus (golden-collared manakin). Its description in RNAcentral is "lncRNA (ENSMVIG00005011761.1)". Lineage: Eukaryota; Metazoa; Chordata; Aves; Passeriformes; Pipridae. The record is from RNAcentral.